CGGUUUCUUAAGUCUGAUGUGAAAGCCCCCGGCUCAACCGGGGAGGGUCAUUGGAAACUGGGAAACUUGAGUGCAGAAGAGGAGAGUGGAAUUCCACGUGUAGCGGUGAAAUGCGAAGAGAUGUGGAGGAACACCAGUGGCGAAGGCGACUCUCUGGUCUGUAACUGACGCUGAGGAGCGAAAGCGUGGGGAGCGAACAGGAUUAGAUACCCUGGUAGUCCACGCCGUAAACGAUGAGUGCUAAGUGUUAGGGGGUUUCCGCCCCUUAGUGCUGCAGCUAACGCAUUAAGCACUCCGCCUGGGGAGUACGGUCGCAAGACUGAAACUCAAAGGAAUUGACGGGGGCCCGCACAAGCGGUGGAGCAUGUGGUUUAAUUCGAAGCAACGCGAAGAACCUUACCAGGUCUUGACAUCCUCUGACAACCCUAGAGAUAGGGCUUUCCCUUCGGGGACAGAGUGACAGGUGGUGCAUGGUUGUCGUCAGCUCGUGUCGUGAGAUGUUGGGUUAAGUCCCGCAACGAGCGCAACCCUUGAUCUUAGUUGCCAGCAUUCAGUUGGGCACUCUAAGGUGACUGCCGGUGACAAACCGGAGGAAGGUGGGGAUGACGUCAAAUCAUCAUGCCCCUUAUGACCUGGGCUACACACGUGCUACAAUGGACAGAACAAAGGGCUGCAAGACCGCAAGGUUUAGCCAAUCCCAUAAAUCUGUUCUCAGUUCGGAUCGCAGUCUGCAACUCGACUGCGUGAAGCUGGAAUCGCUAG
RNAcentral lists this ribosomal RNA (762 nucleotides) under Bacillus sp. STR4. RNAcentral's name for it is "bacterial SSU rRNA". It matches the Rfam family "Bacterial small subunit ribosomal RNA", at positions 576 to 1338 of the family's 1533-position model. The record is from RNAcentral. Lineage: Bacteria; Bacillati; Bacillota; Bacilli; Caryophanales; Bacillaceae.